This 750-nucleotide long non-coding RNA is filed under the name Daucus carota (carrot). RNAcentral's name for it is "long non-coding RNA (DCAR_LNC004425)". The record is from RNAcentral. Lineage: Eukaryota; Viridiplantae; Streptophyta; Magnoliopsida; Apiales; Apiaceae.
CUGACUUGUGGCUGCAAUAAUAAAAAGCGCAGAAUGACCAUGACGGCGUAAGACAUCGAUCACAAUUCAACAAUUGCACACAAUGACAAUGCGCGGAUACUAUUCUUACCUCUGCUGUUUUUGUCGAACUCUGACGAAGUGCCGAUGGUCCUGGAUCUCUUAAUGCUUUCAGCGCGUCUUUGUAGGAACAAAUCCAGAGCAUUUCCAGAACCUCGUCGACGAAUACCUGCCAAAAUGUGCCGGUUAUGAAUUGAAAACACAAACACGUGGUGUUCCUAAGCUAAAGAAACACGGCUCAAAUGAUGAAUGUGAGGCAAUUGUUUCGCGAAUACCAGCAAGUGAAGCAUCUGACUGAUUUUCUUUGUUCCUCUUCCGACCUACACAUGAAAGACAACACAUGAGCCUCGCACACACGGAGGUGCAAAGCACAAUUAAACCAAUCCUAUUGCAAAAUCAUGCCUCUCUUGUACGAACCUGAGCCUGACAAAUUAAUCAUCGGCUGCUGCGAACGCGAAUCCAUAGCCAGCAAGAAUACCGUCAAAAACCACUCUACAAACCCACACAAGAGCUCUUUGACAGCAAGCAAAGAAAUUACGUUUGAAUUUUGAAAAAUCAAAAGCAUAGUCUAAAAUGCAUCCCUGAUUACGUGCAGUUUCCAUAAUGGAAGAGAAGAAAUCUGUAUUCAGCAAUCAACGCAAUCAAUCGGGAAUUAACAGCCACGAAGAAGGCAAGCUGGCAAGGUACUGUAUC